GAUGAACGCUGGCGGCGUGCCUAAUACAUGCAAGUCGAGCGAACGGACGCGAAGCUUGCUUCUCUGAUGUUAGCGGCGGACGGGUGAGUAACACGUGGAUACCCUCCCUCUCUGACUGGGAUAACUUCGGGAAACCGUAGCUAAUACCGGAUAAUAUUUUGAACCGCAUGGUUCAAAAGUGAAAGACGGUCUUGCUGUCACUUAUAGAUGGAUGCGCGCUGCAUUAGUUAGUUGGUAAGGUAACGGCUUACCAAGGCCACGAUGCAUAGCCGACCGGCGAGGGGGAUCGGCGACAUGGGAGCGGGGACGCGGACAUUGCUCCUGCGAGAGGCAGCAGUAGGGAAUGUUCGGCAAUGGGCGAGAGCCUGACGGAGCGGCGCCGCGUGAGUGAUGGAGGUCUUGGGUUCGGGAAACCCGGUUAUGGGGGAAGAACAUAUGUGUAAGUAACUGUGGACAUCUUGACGGUACCUAAUCAGAAAGCCACGGCUAACUACGUG
Molecule: ribosomal RNA, 497 nt
Filed under: uncultured bacterium
Lineage: Bacteria
Description: partial 16S ribosomal RNA
Rfam family: Bacterial small subunit ribosomal RNA
Source: RNAcentral